CCUACGGGGGGCAGCAGUGGGGAAUAUUGGGCAAUGGACGCAAGUCUGACCCAGCAACGCCGCGUGAAGGAAGAAGGCUUUCGGGUUGUAAACUUCUUUUAUCAGGGACGAAGCAAGUGACGGUACCUGAUGAAUAAGCCACGGCUAACUACGCGCCAGCACCCGCGUUAAUACGUAGGUGGCAAGCGUUAUCCGGAUUUACUGGGUGUAAGGGGCGUGUAGGCGGGAGUGCAAGUCAGAUGUUAAAACUAUGGGCUCAACCCAUAGCCUGCAUUUGAAACUGUACUUAUUGAGUGCUGGGGAGGCAAUCGGAAUUCCGGGUGUAGCGGUGCAAUGCGUAGAUAUAAGGAGGAACACCAGUGGCGAAGGCGGAUUGCUGGACAGUAACUGACGCUGAGGCGCGAAAGCGUGGGGAGCAAACAGGAUUAGAUACCCGUGUAGUC
Molecule: ribosomal RNA, 443 nt
Filed under: uncultured bacterium
Lineage: Bacteria
Description: partial 16S ribosomal RNA
Rfam family: Bacterial small subunit ribosomal RNA
Source: RNAcentral